This is a long non-coding RNA of Mya arenaria, 1872 nucleotides long. RefSeq lists it as uncharacterized. The record is from RefSeq and is a predicted model, not a curated record. NCBI's taxonomy places the organism in Eukaryota, Metazoa, Mollusca, Bivalvia, Myida, Myidae. The transcript has 3 exons.
GAAUAGAUUGUCUUCAAUUUAUCUUCAAAACAUUAUAUUUGAAGAACGACAAAUAAGUUUAAUAACUGUUCCCGUUUCGUUUACGUUUUCCGAUUGGUUAACUGUAAUAUCAUGUGCCGGAAAUGUAAAUAUUCGGAGGAGUUCCGAAUGAAAUGUAAAAUGUGUGGACCGGUAAUUAUGUGAAUUGGAAUAAUUAUGUUUUAUGUUGUUUUGUUAUGUUUACUGCAUUAAUAAACAAUGAGUUAAGCUGUUUUCUUUAAUUUAAUCGAUAUUGGAUUAAAUGUUCACCUAACUUUAUUUGUUAAUGUGUUGAAGGUGACAUAAAUUUUAUUACGAUUGCCCCCGAGUUGUUUUAUUUUUAGAACACAACACAUAUCCGGAUGUUGCUAUUUUUAGAACCAGAAGGUAUUUCCCCGCUAUUCAUAGGUCAAUAAUGGAAUUUCUACAUCCUCGAUUAAUAGUUGGAAACCCGUUUUUUGUCAUGAAUAUAAGUUUAAUAUAAGUAAACACUAAAAGUGCACACUGACAGUUGAUUACGAUACAUCUAACAAUUUGAGUUAUUACAGUAAAACAUGGAUUAUAAGUGAAUUAUACGCGUAAGAGAAGAUUUUCUGUCGAAAAAACUAAUGUCAACAAUCAGCAUGGAAUUGGGAUAUUCGUAUCAAAGGGCUAUUCAUGCAGGAAAAGGACUGAAUAUUACUAUUAUAUGAAGAAUUCCAGCCUGCAUUAAAUACUUUGUUGGAUCAUUGAGACAGAUUUGACAUCCAUGUCUAUCCACAUUUGAUAGAGAUGAUCACUAAACAUUCUAGAUGGGUAAAGACCUGUUAAAUCAGCAUUGACUCAGCAUUGAGUAAUUUUCAUCUGUACAGACACUACAAGUACAAACGCAUGGGAACAAACCAAACUUCAAAUGUUGAAGAGUGAAGAAUUAUUGUGAAAAGUUCUAAAUGUUAGAAUACCAUUGACUAAAUAAAACAAAUAGACAUCGAUUACCAACAGAGACUGUUUACAUGUUAUAAUAUUCAAAAGACAUUAGUUGAGAACUUUCACUCUGACAUUUUUGGAGGGGCAUUACCGCCUACUUAGUGUUCUUGUUUCUUUACAUAUUUUAAUUUAAAAGUACAUUCAUUGUUUUUAAAUCUGAAUUCUGAGUUAGUAUCAUAAGUAAAAUUCAUUUAUUUGAAUGAUUACAUUUUAUGAAUAAGUCCAAUUGAGCUUUUUACAAGAAAAAGGUUGAUUUUUAAGCAUUUUAUUAGUUAUAAAAAUGUAUAGUUACAUGACAUUAUGUAUAUUUUCUUCAAAACUGAACGGUAAACUAUCAUAAAUUGUCUUUUGAAUUGUUAAUUAGACAUCAUAGAAAAUAUUUAAAUGAUUUCAACAACAACAAUGUUUCUAAUGAAGGAUCUUGAGUUUAAUUUCCUAAUAAGAAUGAACUUAAAACAUGGUAUUUCUGCCUUGUGAUACUAUAGUAGACCACAGUAAAUCUUUUAGCAAUCACCAAUUGAUCAUUUAAUAUUUGUCAUGCAUUCUGCUAUUAUAAACAUGGUGACAAGCUUGUUAUCAGUAAACGAUAUUUCAGUAAAUGCAUUAUUUAGUAAGUAGUUAUUGUUUUUUCAUUCAAUUUGAUGUGUGUUAUAUAUACAAUUAUAUGUAUUGAUUUCAAAUAAGAGUUUCACUUUAAAGAUGCUCAUUUAAAGAUAAUGAACAGACACACAAAAACUAGACACAUUUGAUACUAAUUAUACGAAUGAUUAUUGUUUUAUAUAUAGGUGACCUCUGAUUUGUUUUGGAGAUAUUCAUAAAUGGGUGUUAUUCUUUAUUGUCUUCAGUUUCUUAUACAUUUAAGGAUUUUUAUAAUUGCUUUUCUGGUAU